UACGUAGGCAGCAAGCGUUGUUCGGAAUUACUGGGCGUAAAGAGUGUGUAGGCGGUGCUCUAAGUCUGUUGUGAAAUCUCCCGGCUUAACUGGGAGGGUGCGGCGGAGACUGGAGUGCUAGAGUGUGGGAGAGGUAAGCGGAAUUCCUGGUGUAGCGGUGAAAUGCGUAGAGAUGUGGAGGAACACCGAUGGCGAAGGCAGCCUCCUGGGCCAAUACUGACGCUCAUGCACGAAAGCGUGGGGAGCAAACAGG
Molecule: ribosomal RNA, 253 nt
Filed under: uncultured bacterium
Lineage: Bacteria
Description: partial 16S ribosomal RNA
Rfam family: Bacterial small subunit ribosomal RNA
Source: RNAcentral